Molecule: long non-coding RNA, 786 nt
Organism: Cloeon dipterum
Lineage: Eukaryota; Metazoa; Arthropoda; Insecta; Ephemeroptera; Baetidae
Exons: 2
Source: RefSeq, a predicted model, not a curated record
GCAUAAAACAAGGGUAACCACUCUCUGUGAGCCAGUAGCUUGGGACAUCUAUUUGCAAGUCACAGCCUAAAUAUGGAAAUAGGCGGUCUUCUCGUAUUCUUCGUCGCGAUAAUUUGCAUCUGUGGUGCUCAGAACGUUGGACAGGGGGCUAACUUCAUAAUCUCUGUACAACAACAACCACAGAAUUCGUCCAACCAAGGCCAGCAGCUGGUUCAACCUCAGCCGAACAGACAAAGAGUUAACGAAAAAAAUCAACCAUUUCAAAAUUAUCAACAGCAACAAUUGAAUCAGGGACCUUCCCGGCUGAUAGGACUGCCCACCCGCCCAGACUCAAAACCAACCAAACAACCAUUACCAAUAACAUCAAUUUUCGAUCUACCCGAUAUACCCGAUAUACCUGAACAAUGCCCAACAGGUACAGUCUGGGACUACGGGACGGCAUCAUGUAUAUAAUUUUUUGAAUUUAAAUCGAUAACUCCUUGAUUCAAUAGUUUCUGCUCGAUCUAAAUUUUCUGGGACUAAUAGCUGUUUUAUUUUUAUUAAGAUAAAUGACUAUUUUUGCCUCAAUUCCAAUAUUAUCUCGACAACAUCUCAACCUAUUUACAGGACAAUGUUGAAAACCCUUUUAAAAAGAUCCCCUUGAAAAUUGUGAGCUUCGCAAUGUUUAAUUUUUCGAUUUAUUAAGGCCUAUAAUUAACACAAAUUCCGAAAUGAAAAUUUGGCUUCUUCGAAACUUUCACUAAUGUAACAAAAUUUUAAGAAAAAUAAAGCAUUAACAUGUGGAAA